GUCGGGUUGGGGACGAAGCGGUUGACCCGGUCACCGAUGAUCACCUGGGUGUGCCGACCGUCGCUGACCAUCUGAAUGCCGCGCCGGCGAAAUCUCUU
Molecule: small RNA, 98 nt
Filed under: Mycobacterium sp. 1423905.2
Lineage: Bacteria; Bacillati; Actinomycetota; Actinomycetes; Mycobacteriales; Mycobacteriaceae
Description: Mycobacterium sRNA Ms_AS-1
Rfam family: Mycobacterium sRNA Ms_AS-1
Source: Rfam by way of RNAcentral